This 332-nucleotide ribosomal RNA is filed under the name uncultured Acidobacteriota bacterium. RNAcentral describes it as "bacterial SSU rRNA". It matches the Rfam family "Bacterial small subunit ribosomal RNA", at positions 568 to 898 of the family's 1533-position model. Lineage: Bacteria; Pseudomonadati; Acidobacteriota. The record is from RNAcentral.
CGCGUAGGCGGUCGCCUAAGUCGGACGUGAAAUCCCCAAGCUUAACUUGGGAACUGCGUCUGAUACUGGGUGACUUGAGUUCGGGAGAGGAAUGUGGAAUUCCAGGUGUAGCGGUGAAAUGCGUAGAUAUCUGGAGGAACACCGGUGGCGAAGGCGGCAUUCUGGACCGAAACUGACGCUGAGGCGCGAAAGCCAGGGGAGCAAACGGGAUUAGAUACCCCGGUAGUCCUGGCCCUAAACGAUGAGUGCUUGGUGUGGCGGGUAUCGAUCCCUGCCGUGCCGAAGCUAACGCAUUAAGCACUCCGCCUGGGGAGUACGGUCGCAAGGCUGAA